GAUCAGCAAGAAGGAAAUAUCAACUCCAACAUCGGCGAUGACAAUGUAAGCGGCUCUGAGAAUGUAGGUAAUUCGUCGGAUGCACAUGCCCAAUCUACUAGUGUUGAUGAACAACCAGUUUAUACUGCCGAUAUUUAUGUUCCAUGAAAUUGGCAUAAUCUUGAUAAUAAAGCAAGAGAUGUCUUAGUUGAGAAAGGGCCUAUCAGAGAGGGAAAAAUGGAAUACCAUGUAGAUGAUCCAGGAAGAAAUUUUUCAUGUGCUCAUUAUCAUAGAAAAUGCAAUGGAGAGGAACAUAAUAGGAAAUGGCUUGUUUAUUCAAAAGAUGUCAAUAAAGUUGUUUGCUUCUGUUGUAAGAUCUUCAAGUCUAGCUCCAACAGGUGUGAGAGUUCCUUAGUACGUGAUGGAUUAGGACAUUGGAGGCAUAUUAGUGAGAAGCUUAAACAUGAAAAUAGAAUCAAGCAUAUUAAUAGCAUGAACAAGUGGAAUGAAUUGAGGGUUAGACUGCAGAAGGUGGAAACUAUUGACAAGGAAUUGCAAUAUCAAAUAAUAAAGAAGAAAGAACGUGUUAGGCAAGUUUUGUUAAGAAUAAUAGCCAUUGUGUAAUAUCUUGGUAAACACAGCUUGGCUUUUUGUGGAAAUAGUGAGCAGCUUUACAAGGAUGAUAAUGGUAAUUUCUUAGCUUGCAUUGAGAUGAUUGCAGAAUUUAGUAUGGUAAUGCAAGAUGACCUUAGACGUAUUGAGAACAAAGAAAUCCAUUAUCAUUAUCUCAGUCAUAAAAUACAAAAUGAGUUGAUAUCUCUUUUGGCUUCUAACGUCACAUGUUCUAUCAUAAAGGUUGUUAAAGAGGCUAAGUAUUUCUCUCUUAUCCUAGAUUGUACCCCUGAUGUUAGUCAUCAAGAAGAAAUGACUUUUUUAGUUCAAUGUGCUAAUCGGUCUGAUGGCAAAGUAAAAAUUGAGGAGUACUUUCUGGGGUUCUUGAAAGUGGAUGACACUUCUGGCUUAGGGAUUUUUAAAGUACUACUUGAAUUAUAGUCUUUUGGCUUAAAUAUUAAAGAUUUAAGGGGUCAAGGAUAUGAAAAUAUUUCUAAUAUGAAAGAAAAAUACCGAGGGGUACAAUCUCGGUUACUUGAUAUGAAUCCAAGAGCAUUGCAUAUGCCAUGUGCUUGUCAUAGUCUUAAUCUCACUCUGUAA
Molecule: ribosomal RNA, 1191 nt
Filed under: Triticum aestivum (bread wheat)
Lineage: Eukaryota; Viridiplantae; Streptophyta; Magnoliopsida; Poales; Poaceae
Description: partial small subunit ribosomal RNA
Source: RNAcentral